Molecule: ribosomal RNA, 441 nt
Filed under: uncultured bacterium
Lineage: Bacteria
Description: partial 16S ribosomal RNA
Rfam family: Bacterial small subunit ribosomal RNA
Source: RNAcentral
CCUACGGGAGGCAGCAGUGGGGAAUAUUGCACAAUGGGGGGAACCCUGAUGCAGCGACGCCGCGUGGGUGAAGGAGUAUCUCGGUAUGUAAAGCCCUAUCAGCAGGGAAGAAAAAUGCCGGUACCUGACUAAGAUGCACCGGCUAAAUACGUGCCAGCAGCCGCGGUAAGACGCAGGGUGCAAGCGUUAUCCGGAUUUACUGGGGGUAAAGGGAGCGCAGGCGGCGCGUUAAGCCUGGUGUGAAAGUCCGCGGCCCAACCGCGGGACUGCAUUGGGAACUGGCGCGCUGGAGUGCCGGAGGGGUAGGCGGAAUUCGUAGUGUAGCGGUGAAAUGCGUAGAUAUUAGGAGGAACACCAGUGGCGAAGGCGGCCUACUGGACGGUGACUGACGCUGAGGCUCGAAAGCGUGGGGAGCAAACAGGAUUAGAUACCCGUGUAGUC